Molecule: ribosomal RNA, 463 nt
Filed under: uncultured bacterium
Lineage: Bacteria
Description: SSU rRNA
Rfam family: Bacterial small subunit ribosomal RNA
Source: RNAcentral
AGGAUUAACGCUGGCGGCGUGCCUAACACAUGCAAGUCGAACGAGGUAGCAAUACCUAGUGGCAGACGGGUGAGUAACGCGUGGUCAACCUACCGUUGAGUGGGGGAUAACUAGCCGAAAGGUUAGCUAAUACCGCAUACGAGUCUCGGGGGCAUCCCUGGGCCUUAAAAGGAGCAAUCCGCUCGAUGACGGGACCGCGUCCCAUUAGCUAGAUGGUGGGGUAAUGGCCUACCAUGGCUCCGAUGGGUAGCUGGUUUGAGAGAGCGACCAGCCACACUGGGACUGAGAAACGGCCCAGACUCCUACGGGAGGCAGCAGUGAGGAAUUUUCCGCAAUGGGCGAAAGCCUGACGGAGCGACGCCGCGUGUGGGAAGAAGGCCUUCGGGUCGUAAACCACUGUCGAAGGGACGAUAAUGACGGUACCCGUUGGAGGAGCCCCGGCUAACUACGUGCCAGCAGCCGC